GAGGUCUAUCGCGGUGCCAAGCAUGACAAACGCACGAACCGCACCCGGCUGCUGAGGUUUUCGAAAAUCGUGAUUGGAUCCCUGGCGGAUCUCAAGGCGGUUAUCGGUCUGAAGGCGGCCCAUGAUACUUGGAAGGUGGAGGUGGAGCUUCUGAGAAAGUACAGGCCGCAUGGCCAAAACAGGCCACCUGUAAAAUUCCUCCGGCGUAGGGCCAAGGAGGCCGGAAUCACUCUUUUGCCUAAAAAAGUUAGAAAAGUUAAGGUGGAGUGUGAGGGUUGAGGGUUUAGGGUAUAUGGGAUAGUAGGGGGGGGUAUGGGGUAGUACGGGGGGGUAUGGGGUAGUACGGGGGGGGGGGAAUGGGAUCUUUCUGAUUCUGAGUUUCUACGUUGACUUUCUAUCUUGUAUAUAUAAAUCCAUAUAAUAUAUGCUAUCGCCGCCUAUCGUUAGGCUUUUUGUUGUUUGCGUUGAAUUCGUUUUCAUAGCCAUUUUUCCCCCUUAUGUGUUACUUGUAGAUUGGGUCAUAAGUGAUUCAAUUGGACUGGUCUGUUUCUCAUUUAUUUAUAGUUUAGUGUCUCAGAAAGUAUGCCUUUGUAUCCAUGUAAAGGCCUGUUCUUCAGUUGGAAUAACUUUACUGACGCAUUUGUUGGGCACAGCCUUCGGCUUUGGUUGUACUUUCAAACUUAUAGCCAACUGGUCCUCCACUUUGGGGUUUAGAAUAACAUGCAAAGCUCUUUAUCCAACAUACCAGACACUGAUAUUAGUUAUGGAAGUAUUUGCUCAGACUCAACCCUUGUGUUCCUUUAGCAGAGUGCAUUCUAGCUAAUGCUGUUUUAAUUCAGCCUGUGAUGCUUUAAUAGUUCUUUUUGUCUAUAUGUCAUGGUCUGACAGAGUCUGAUCUGUGACUUGAGCAAAACUUCAAGUUUAUUUAUUUGCUUCAAAGCAAUAUGAUCCCUUUUUAUGGCACUUGCUGUCUAGUUGCAUAGGGAAUAAUCAUAUGAUGGGAAUAGUAAUUUUUUUUAUUGCAAGGUCAAAAUGGGUAAUGAAUGUGCAGGCAUUAUGAAAAAUCCUCAUUGAAAUUCAAACGCAGAACUGUGGGUGUCCGUUUGGAUAUUGAAUUUGCAUAUCUUGCAAUUACAAUAUUGGUUUCAUUAAUUUGAGGUCUUUCACAAGAUCAGAUGAGUUUAUCAUCUGGUAAACCUUACGAUGGUAUAGUGUUCUCUUUGAUUGAUCUCUAAUGUCAAUUGUCAAGAUGGCUAGAAUGGUAUAGUUUUUCAUUUUGUAAUAGCUCCUGAUUGUGUUUGUCUUUUGUAGUCUGUGCCCAGGAGCUGAGUAUCUGUUGCAAAUUGUGCAUGAAGCUGUUCCAGGAGCCUAUUUUGAACCCAAUUCUUAUAUAGCAGCAGCAGAUGUUGCUGUUUACAUUCUUAAUCAGCUAUACAGAAAACUCGAUGAAGUUUGUCUUGUGCAAGGGGGUGAGGUUGUGAAGCUAUGUUGGUUGUGUCAAAGAGUUUCUGUACCCAGUUUCUGUGCAUGCCUUGAUUAAGCUUUGCUGAUCCAAAUAAUGCUCUUUCAGGAGGAUGCUUAUCGGAUGUUACUUUACAUAUUUACUGGGAGUCUACUGCCUUAUGUUGAGGGUCUUGAUUCUUGGCUUUUUGAAGGGACUCUCGACGACCCUUUUGAGGAGGUAAUACUUCAUGAAAGUUGUAUUGUGUAUCUCUUGGUUGGAGCAUGCUGUUACGAAAAUGGUCAAGUUAUGAUACUUGUUUGGUGCUUGUUUUUCACAAUUAAUGACUCAAUACUCAAAACUUGAUUUGCCUAUUGUAUUGUGACCUUCUUUGAAUCAGUUUGAACUGUAUUCAAUUUUGUGAUAAGGAUAAAUGAGCAGUCAAAGAGUCAGCAAAUCUGUGUAGGUAGUCCUGCAACAUUUCUCUUAGGCAAAACAUGACUUUCAUCAUUUCUUUAUAAAGCAGGCAUUUUGACUCAGUCUCCACUGUAUACUUGUGUAUUUGGUCAUAAUCUGCCUUUUUUGAUCAUUCUGUUUUUGCCAGAUGUUCUUUUAUGCUAACAAAGGAAUUGCAAUUGAUGAGACUGAGUUUUGGGAGAAGAGCUAUCUGCUAAGGACAGCAAAAAUUAAAAACCUGGAGAUCGGUUCCUCAUCUGAUGUUUUACUAAAAGACAAAAAAGAUAUUACUGGAAGAGAGUCGAUUUCUACGAGAGAAAAAGAGGGGGGGGAGAUAGAACAUCAUGUUUGUCCUUUGUUCAUUAAGGACAUGGGUAAGGCAAUUGUUUCUGCUGGGAAGUCCUUGCAGCUUAUACGACAUGCACCUUUGCCAUCACUUUCAGAUGUACCUGCCGAUAACCAUGAGAUUAGGCAGUGUAUAGCUGGUUUGACUUUAUCAGAGGUCCUUUGCGUGUCAUUGGCGGCACUGAUUGGUCAUAGCGAUCACAUAUCUGAAUAUGUUUGGCGUGAUAAUUUGAUUGUUUCUUCAUUUGAAUCUUCUGUGGGAAAGGAGAAAGAAGAGAGAAAUGGCGAGAUUUUACCAUUUAUAUCAUCAGAUAAGGUCUGGUAUAAAAUCUUGGCCAAUGUAUUGGGGCAGAAAAGAGAGAUUGUUUCAGGAUCUACACAUAUAGAUACUGAUGUCUUUAGCUUACAGAAAGAAAAACUAGGUCCUGAUGGAGUUGAUGAUGUUCCUUGUGUUGGAACAUAUUGUCCUCAAAAUCCUGCUAUAACUGUUUGUCAGAGAUUUCUUUACGGGAAUAAGGAUGCUCAGAGUGCAUUAAGUUUGUCUAGAAAUUUGUAUCUUCCUCCUUUAGAUGAUAAGGAAUUAAGAAAGGCUGUAUUUUACAAAAAUAGUGGAUCUUGUUCUGAGGAAAAAAGCACAGAUUUUACUUUUGGCUUUUGGUUUGAUGAAUCUGAAUAUGUUCGUAGACAGGAAGAAACAAAAAUGUUAGAGAUGCUAUUUCCAUUUAUGACUUUGCUUCCAUCUUUUCAGGUAUAGCUAUUUUGUUAGUACUAUGUUUGUCACAGUAGUUUUUAGAACAUUUGAAAUCUGAGCAAUUCUUUCUGUGGCGGAACAGGAGGACCUUCACAUGUCAGAGUUUUUGCCAUUUGAGAAAAAUAGUACCCUUCCAUCAAGAAUUCUAAGUUGGAUGCAGAGUGCUGAACCAAAGGUUACCCCACUUCCUGUUGUUAUUCUACAGGAAUGCCUUAUUGCCUACAUCAAGAAACAGGUGGACUGCACAAUUAUUUUUGGUUUUCGGUGUCUUAUUUGUUGCCUACAUUCUUAAGGCUGAAUUAUAUUUAGAAGUUAUUUUCAUUAAUCUACAGGCAGAUUAUAUUGGUAGGAUUAUAUUGUCAAAGCUACUAUAUGACUGGAGAUUGCUGGAUGAGCUAGAAGUAUUACGCGCCAUAUAUUUGUUAGGUUCAGGUAUUCUAGGAUAUUGGUCAAACGGAUACUUCUAGCAAUCUUGGGUGUUAUCAGAAAAUACCAUUCAUUGAUUGAAAGCUUGAAACCUUUUUAUUACAGGGGAUCUUCUGCAACAUUUUUUGGUAGUGAUUUUUAACAAGUUAGAUAAAGGAGAAUCGUUAGAUGAUGAUUUUGAGUUGAACACCAUAUUGCAGGUGCACAUGCUGAACCUUUAACCAUAUUUGUACUAUUGUGCUGUACUAUCCUGAUUUUACAUUUCUUCCUUCCCAUGAAUGAUCUAUAUUUGUCAUGCUAUAAUGUUCAUUGGAAGCCUGUUCUCUUUUUCUGAAUGAGGGAAACUGGUUAGUUAUCUCUUUUUUUGUUGGUGCAUUUUUCUUCAAAUUAUCUUCACAGGUUGGUGUUUUAAUACCACUUAACCGAUAAUGGGACUAGCAAGUGACCGUGUUUGCUUGGUGAGGGUGAAUAUACAGUUAGUGCCUCAAUAAUGACAAUGCUUAUGUUUACUUCAGGAAUCUAUUAGAAGCUCUGCUGAUGGCUCACUUCUGAGCACACCUGAUUCAUUGGUUGUGUCCAUCACAAAAAACUCUGAUUUAAGUGAGGAUGAACAACAUGGUGCAUCUAUCCAAAUCUCAACUCCUCGCAAAAGUCGACUACAGACCAUGGGAAUUGAUGUCCUUCAGUCACUAAAUUUUACAUACAAGGUAGGCAGUAUGAUUUAUAUGCAUGCUUCUGCUUUCAAGAGGUGCCUGCUGUUUGCGAGCUGUCAAGCACUUCAACUUCAUUUACCUUGAAUAAUACCUUGUUGAUGAACAUCUUAAGUGCACAUGUUUCUUGAAUAUACAGGUCUCCUGGCCACUUGAACUUCUAGCUAAUGUAGAGGCACUAAAGAAGUAUAACCAGGUACCUAAUUGGCUUCAUAUGGACAAAUUGUAAUUAGUCUUGCACUGUAAUUCUUCUGAACAUAUGGUACAGGUCAUGAUUUUCCUGUUAAAGGUCAAGCGUGCAAAAUUUGUUCUUGAUAAGGCUCGGAGGUGGAUGUGGAAGGUUCCUGAUUUUUUACUCUCUUUUGCUUUCAUCAUGUUGCAGCAGUGAAAUUUUGUAUUGCUAAACAAAAAUUUCAUGGCUUAUGAAAGGUAUUCUUUAGAUCACUGAUUCGAUACUUUGCCUCUCUCAGGAUAGAAGCACUGCUACAACUACUCGCAAACGCCAUUGGUUAUUGGAGCAAAAAUUACUGCAUUUUGUCAAUGCCUUUCACCAGUAUGUGAUGGACAGGGUAAUGUAUUUUACCGCCUUGUUUAGUACGUUAACAACUUUUAGGGUUUGGUUCUUGUAUUACUUGCAUAUAAAGAUGGACAGGGCUUUCAUAUUUGUAGGUGGUUAUGUGAUAGAGGGUUCUUAGACUAAUUUUUUUUCAAAUAAAUUAGAACAAGCUAAUCUAAACUUGCUUGCCUCUUUUGCGUGUAUAAAAUUUAACUACCAAAGAUAUAUUCUCUAAGAAGAUUCACUUGAAUUUUGGAUGAUCUUCAUUCAAAUUAAAUUGUGUAAAUGCAGCUAGGUUUAUUUGGCAAUACAAGUACGCUACAUGCAAGGUUGAGAGUAUCAAUGCGUAUCUUCUUUGAAGAGAAAUUUUGGUUUCUUGCACUUCUUACACGAAGGCUGUGUGCAGGUAUAUCACAGUGCAUGGCGUGAACUCUGUGAAGGUGUUGCAGCAGCUAGGUCUUUGGAUGAAGUCAUUGAAGUGCAUGAAUCCUAUCUUUUGUCAAUUCAGACACAGUGCUUUGUUGUUCCUGACAAGCUGGUCCAUAACUGCCUCCAAUAACUUUGCUUUUGCCUACCCUUAUUUUUCCUUUCUAUUGGACGUUUUGUUAAGAAACUAAUAAGAUAAAUUGUGUUAACAUUUUUGAUGAUUAUUGUUUCAUUACUAGUGGGCAUUGAUAGCCAGCCGAAUCAACAAUAUCCUUGGACUUGCUUUGGACUUCUAUUCCAUACAGCAGACUCUAAGCAGUGGUGGAGCAGUGUCUGCCAUAAAGACAAGAUGCGAAAUGGAAGUAGAUCGGAUAGAGAGACAGUUCGAUGAAUGCAUAGCUUUCCUUCUCAGGGUAUUCCUUCUCUAUCCUUUUGUUGGUUUUGAUGCAUAUGCUAAGAAAAUUUAUGUCCAUGCGCUAGUGGAUUGAAGUGUAAAUCCACUGUUGUGUAGUAGCAUGGAUAAUGGAAAAACUGCGGUUAAUCUUGGUUAUAGUUUUGAUAUUCUCCAGCUUAGGAGAAAAGGAUUUCAUCAUCUUUGUCACUACGUUGCAGAUUCUAUCUUUCAAGCUGAACGUGGGGCAGUUUCCUCAUUUAGCAGAUUUGGUUACGAGAAUUAAUUACAAUUAUUUCUACAUGUCUGAUAGUGGAAGCCUGAUGACAACUUCGGGCUCGGAUGUUAUUACUUCAAGAUAGGGUCGUCCAAGUCAAGAUGGACUGGGUUAUUGCUCUGUGUGGUAUAAAAUCAACAGAAAAACAAAAAAUUGAUGUCUUUCAGCAUGGUGUGAUAGUUGAAUGAGGAAUUUAGGUAUCUCUGCAUCCUGAUAAGCUCCUAAUGCAGAAGCUGCAAGUUGAUAAAUUGAAGUUGGGUUGCUUUGCUUACCGCAUCUUGAAGCGCUUGAGAUUGGAGGAUCAUGUAUUUAAGACAGCACGCAUACUUUGUUUGAAGGAAGAUAGCAGGUAUACUUGUUUGAUAGAUUUUUAAUGUCGUAGAUUGGCUUCCCUAGUUGAUUGAACAAAUAUUUAUCAUCGUUUCAGGACUUCUGCAUUCUCCUACUGCUGAUGAUAUUACUAUUAGAGAUGAAAAUAUCAUUGGUUUAGCCGCUUGGUUGUUGUGAUUACAAUUUAUAUGCUGUCAUACGUGUGAUGUUUUGUAAGUGCGGCGUUGCAGUCAAUUUACAGAUUGGUUUUAACAAUAAUUUUUCCACAAUUAUAUCAAUGUAUGUUGCAAUUUUGUUGGCUAUAGAUUUGAUUGUGACAUAACCAGUUUGCUGUGUUUUAUAUUGAAAUUUACAGCACAUCAUCACCUGCCAAAAUACUCUACCCCGCGACUGGAGCAAAAACAAGACAAUGUCAUCAUUAUCAUGCCAAGUUCAACUCGAAGCUGGAAACCCUACCCCCCGAAAACUAAUAUACUUGUUGAGAGAGUUGACAGGAUCAGUCCUGAACUAGAGGAUUCAAUACCGCUCCAGUAAACAGCACUGACCUGGAGCUCUCUUCCUUAUCAUGAACAUGAAAGGAUGUUCAGCCACAAAUCUCGUCUCAUCAUCUAAUGAGCAACCAAGUAAUCACACGCAACAGUAACAGCUGCUGCUUCCGUGCCUACCUCAUCUACCUCUAUAAAAGCUUUUUGAACUAUCUCAGAGACAUAAAAUGGAAAUCCGUUGGUGUCUAUGAACCCGGUUAGCUCUUUACAGUCCUACAUAAAUGGUAACUUUAGCACCAUAUCUUCCAUGGUUUGUCGCCCUUUAGAAGUAUGGAAUGCAAACUUAGACUUUGGAAUCCAGAAAGUAUCAUAUCCCCCGUACUUGAGCUGAAAAUCUUGUGUAAAGAAUCCCGAAUCAAGAGUUGUCUGUUCCAAUAGAUUAUGCAAUCCAUCUCUCUCAUUUGGAAGGAAAAUGAACAAGGAGAAUACUUUUCCUCUCUGAUAUGGAAUACUAACAACCUCAAAACCUUCGUAUGAUCCAUGAGUGAGUAUAUGCUUCGCAACCAGUCAUGAAGGGUACUGAAACUGUGUCCCCAUUUAAAAGGUAAAAGUCUCCGUUCGCGGUUUCCUCUGCGUUAAACUUUUCCUCCCACGAACCUUUGAAGUACAGUGUAGUUCCAAGAAUGAGCAUGGUAGCUGGAGUGAUGUUGGCAGGCGUGAGAACGUCGGUCACGAGCCCUUUGGUUGCUGAUUUUGCCCAUGCAUUCACAAUUUCAACAACUUUAUCACCCCACGGAUGAAUCAAUACAUACAUAAUAUCUAUGAAAUAAAACAAUAAACUUAUAUUUGAGCCUAAUCGGGCUGCAUAUGUACAACUCCUUUACAAUUCCGAAUUCAAUUCCGUACUUUAAUCCAACAUUAAUGCUAAUCCGAAUUUGAGAUCAAAAUCAUUCAAAAUCGAAUUCAAAUUAAGCCCUUAAUGAACUGAGUCCGAAUGUUUCGUUAGGGCUCGAUUGUCCCAUGGACUAUGGGCUUCUGUCUCAAAACAGCAUUCAAGAUGCAUGAUGCAUUUUUGAAAAAAAAGAUUCACGAUACACGAUUGCAACGACAUUAGGAAAUUUCACAAUUAUAUAUUUCUUUCUAAUACGAGGUUAAGAAAUCACCUAAAUCAACAGUAGCCUAAGCAGAUUUUGUGUCCAUAAAGCCAAGUGAAUUCCAGAACAAAAGAAAAAUAAUCAACAUACCUGGUUAACAAAGUCCACGUUCUUGGCUUGGGCUUUAUAAACUCUCUCAACGAGUCUUUGAUACGAUGGUUUUAGAGGGUAUUGUUUGUCUGCCCACAGUCCGUUCGCCAGACAGAUAACAGGACCACCACCAUGAUUGCCAUUGGUGGUGUUGUGAUCAUCAGUUGAUGAUGAUGCAAUGCUCGUCAAGUUUUUUAACUUUGAAUUGACAUGAUCAAGGUUGUUGCAUUCAAGAACUUGGACAUCUGGUACAAGGUCAAUCCAGUCGAUCCUGCAGCAAUCAUGCUGAGUACAGCAUUGAAUGAUAGCGGGGAUAGCACCAUAUUCUUCCUGCAACCAUCUUCGAUCUCGUUGAUCAGAAGAUGGCCCGUCGUCUUGGCACAAAAUUCCAUUGUUAUUAUUUUUUUCAAUUGACUCACAGUUUCCGAAUCCACGAAUGGAAUCAACUUACAACUUCGGCUUUGGACUUGGAACUUGCUUCACCUCUUCAACCGAUGUAUUACUGAAAAGAAACAAGACUAAACAAUAUAGAAACUAGUACUACUAAUUAGCAAAUAACAUGUACUAAUAAAAGACUUGAUUUAAUUUCCAUACUGGGGGAUGGAGGGGCCCUUGGGGACAUUAUUUCGGUAGAUUGAUCUUCCCAUGCGCAAGAACAGAAGUCUCAUUGUUACAGCAAUAGUACAAACACCAGAUGACCAAUCCCAUCCCUGAUUUGCACUUAUCCAUACUAAAAAAGUGACCCCAAGCAUUGCUCCAGUAGUGAUGGAGAAUAACAACCAGUUGAAGAAGCUGGCAAGUUUAGGUGCCUCCAGAGGGUUCCUUUCAUCAAAUUGGUCGGCUCCCAGGGAUGGCAAUGCUGCUUUUACUCCGCUGUUGCCAAACGCGAACAAAUAGAGACCUGCAAAUAAGAGGGCUUCUUGGCUUCUGGUUAUUGCCUCGCAUUGAGUCGACUUCAGCGUGGCUGCAUCCUUGCAGGGAAGUGGUCUUAGUUGUGGAAAAUGUGCUUGCACCGUCGGGACAGCAAGUCCCUGAAAAAGUCAUAAUAAUAUGCUCAGCCAACAUCUUUUAAGAGAUUUCACGUUUUGCCCACUUAAAUAAAUAGAAAAAAUAAAACAUUAUGCCUACUCGCGUUUUUCCCUCGUUUUGGACACUACAGCUCCUAUGAGUAUGCAUCGCUUUCGCAUGGGUCGGACAAGGCCACGUGGGGAUUAGGUUUAUUUGCGUAAAAUUUUUAUUUUCGUAAGAAAAUGUCAGAAAGAAACUCAUUUUCAGGGGCUUGGGGAUCUUUAUCUCUUAGCAGCGGGGCACCCUGUGGGGUUUCUAUCCCACAUCGGUAUUGGGGGGUUGGGGUUUGGGUAGAUAAGUCCCUCACAGGACUCCAAAAGUUGCCGGCUUUUGGAGUUACUGUGGGGAUUAGGUUUAUUUGCGUAAAAUUCUUACUUUUGUAAGAAAAUGUCAGAAAGACAAGGGGCACGGACGGUUGCAGGUACAACCGUCCCCAACGGUAUUGGCCAUUUUCAACAGCGCGUAACUUCGGUUGCACACGACGUAACUUUGUUUGUACAAUAUAUAACUUUAGUAUUAAAUUUUGCGAGUCCCACACAUGAUAUUAAAAUAGAUGCACAACUUGUGAUCUAGAUGCAUAAUUUGUUGGGGCCAAAUCAUGGCCAUUAACAGCUCAGGAGCGGUCAUGGUGUACUAUCAAACUAUGUGGACGUGUGUAAGUAGCAAUUAAGAUGACUUUGAAAUUGUUACGCAACUCAUAUUUUUGUACCAUCAAAUUUAAUGCACUACACUAGUCUAUCAUUUGCUUAUUUUGUCUUGGAAUGAAAAAUCUCCUGGAGCUAGUCAGUCUAGUCAGUGGUGGAGCCAGAAAAAAUUUUUAAUUGGGGCAAAAGUAACACUAAAAUUUUUUUCCUCCUCUUUUAUUAGUUUUUUAAGUAAAAAAAAUAUUCACCAAUAAGUUAAAAUGAAAAAAAAAAUUGAACUUAUUUCAAAUGGAAUAUUGUGAUCCACAUAUUCUUUUAGAAUAUUAGUUCAUGAACCAAUUUAAAAGAUCAUGUAAUUCUUUCAUUUAUUACAUAAAAAAAACUUUGGAGACACAAUUAAGAUAAAAUCAAAAUUUUAUGCAUAUUGUAGGAAUUUAAGGGGAGCAGUGGGGGCUCGUGCCCCCACCUUAAAUCCGCCAGUGGUCUAGUUGUGUUUAUUUUGCCUAAUAAGUAGAAUGUACUAAUUGUUUAGAUUAUUUUCAUUUCCAUAUUUAUCAGAUUUCCAAGGUGUUGCCAAUCUUUAAAAAUCCGGCAUACCUUUGAGUUUGGAUAACACUUUUUUAAAUGUAAUAUAUACAGAGAUAAAAAAAUAAUUAAAAAAUAUAUUGAUGAUAUAAGUAAAUAAGUAUAUUAUGUAAAUAAUGUGUAAACAAGGUAUAAUCCAAACACAAAACUGUAGCAAUGCAUCUAGACUAGUGGAUGGAAGUUGAACAGUCGAUGUGCAAUAUAUUAGACUAGUGUAUGGCCUUUCUCAUCGAAUAAAAUGAACUACUAUUAUGCUAAAAAGGCGGAGACAUAUAGGCUUUUAUUCCCGUGGAAAUACAAGAGAUCUACAAGAUUGGCUCAAAAGCAAACAAAUACAUAAUAAUUGAAUAGGGGAUUUUUUUUUUUUUUUUUUUUUUUCCUGAGAGAUGGAAUAGAGGGUUACUACGUGAUUUAGUGUCAAAGCGACGACUUUCGAUAAAAGAAGAAAAGUGGAGGACAACAGCGAGUAGCUUGGGAUCACCUAGAUCAAUGAUGAAAUUAUUGGAUUCAACAAAUAUAACUACUACUAAUUAAAAGCAAACAUCACUAAUGGUAGUGUAUAAUUUUCAAACCAUAAUUGAAAAAGAAGACAGAAAGGGCCAAAACAAAAAAAAUGGUCUUAUACCGGGAAUACGAUUUUGCUGCAAUUGGUUGCUUCCACAACCUCAAAUCCUUAGCAAUUAUUUCUUCUAGUAAUUACCAAGACAUUAGUUCAAAUAUAAAACCCUGGUGUUCUCUCUUCAUUUAUUUAUUUUUCAAUAGAGAGGCAGACAGUCUAAGCUGGCAAAGCAGUGACAUAAUCUGCAGCAAGAUCCUAUUUUAAGUUACAAUUAGUACCCUCCUCUCUGUCCUCAACCUUUCGUCGCCGUCGGAACCCUAACUUGAGAACAAUAUCAAGCAUACUCAACAUGGCCGCUCUGCCAAAAUCAACGAGGGUCCUGCGCGCUUAUAGGAUUGCCAAGAACACUGCCAAGGAGGCUCGCGAGGUCUAUCGCGGUGCCAAGCAUGACAAACGCACGAACCGCACCCGGCUGCUGAGGUUUUCGAAAAUCGUGAUUGGAUCCCUGGCGGAUCUCAAGGCGGUUAUCGGUCUGAAGGCGGCCCAUGAUACUUGGAAGGUGGAGGUGGAGCUUCUGAGAAAGUACAGGCCGCAUGGCCAAAACAGGCCACCUGUAAAAUUCCUCCGGCGUAGGGCCAAGGAGGCCGGAAUCACUCUUUUGCCUAAAAAAGUUAGAAAAGUUAAGGUGGAGUGUGAGGGUUGAGGGUUUAGGGUAUAUGGGAUAGUAGGGGGGGGUAUGGGGUAGUACGGGG
Molecule: long non-coding RNA, 11446 nt
Filed under: Coffea arabica (coffee)
Lineage: Eukaryota; Viridiplantae; Streptophyta; Magnoliopsida; Gentianales; Rubiaceae
Description: long non-coding RNA (CARA_LNC006703)
Source: RNAcentral